This is a long non-coding RNA of Eubalaena glacialis (North Atlantic right whale), 736 nucleotides long. RefSeq lists it as uncharacterized. The record is from RefSeq and is a predicted model, not a curated record. The transcript has 5 exons. NCBI's taxonomy places the organism in Eukaryota, Metazoa, Chordata, Mammalia, Artiodactyla, Balaenidae.
UCUCCAAGUGUCUUCAAUGAAGAGGAGGGAGAGCUAAACGCUGCGCGCACCAACCCAGGCCCGAUGGUUUGUUGGACAGACUGGACUUGAGAAAGUACAAUCAGGAACCAGCUUCAUUAUUUUCCAAGCACUGCCUUCAACUAGACUCUUUGGAUCACCUUCCCCAAUUCAGAGGAUUUGUUUGCCAAAUCUCAGACACUUUCAGGGUCGCCAGAAAAGCGAGAGUGGAGACUGCAGGGAGUACGGGUUUGAAUGAACUUUGGCUGCUCCAUCAAGCAUGCUGAUCACUGAGGAAACAUCAGAAGCCUCAGCCAAGUGACUCAUCCCCCAAAUCCAACAGAGGAUUUUGAAAACAACAGAGAAAAUUAUAGCAGAGAAAUGGAGGGAGAAGGGAGAAAUGGUGAAGAGAGGAAGAGGGGGACAGGAGAAGCAAGACAGAGUUAGCUGUGCCUGAAGCAAGAGCUUCUGCUGGACUUUAUAUCAACAUGAGCCAAUCACUUCCAUUGACCUGCCAGAGAAACCGCUUAUUUCACAGAAGGAUGGUGCUGGCUGAAAGAUGCUUUCUUGAAAUGGAGGGAUUACUGCCUUACACAGGUUCCCCUGAAGAUGUAUUUUAUUUGCAUUUUAAUUCUUAGAGCUAAAAGGCACGAGCAUGAACUAUUGAGGAUAUUAACUCUGAAACUUUAUCUGCAUUGUUUCUGUUUGCAUUCUGUAUAGUGUGUUACAUAGGAAUAUA